Vicugna pacos (alpaca) is the source of this 88-nucleotide non-coding RNA. The record is from RefSeq and is a predicted model, not a curated record. Lineage: Eukaryota; Metazoa; Chordata; Mammalia; Artiodactyla; Camelidae.
AUUAACAGAUACACAUGGCUAUAUAUGAAAUAGAAAAACAACAAGGACCUACUGUAGACCACAGGGAAUUAUAUUCAACUUUUUGUAA